UGGCAGAACUGAAAUUGAAAACCAAGCCUGUCUGAAUCCAGUAUCUGAUUUCUCAACAACUCCUGCCUCAGAAACACUUGGAACUUUAUGGAGCUUCUACAGCCACAUUCAUAGCAGUAAGUGCUGAGAAUGUGUAGAAGGCCAAAA
This is a long non-coding RNA of Neofelis nebulosa (Clouded leopard), 147 nucleotides long. RefSeq lists it as uncharacterized. Lineage: Eukaryota; Metazoa; Chordata; Mammalia; Carnivora; Felidae. The record is from RefSeq and is a predicted model, not a curated record. The transcript has 2 exons.